RNAcentral lists this ribosomal RNA (443 nucleotides) under Levilactobacillus brevis. RNAcentral describes it as "bacterial SSU rRNA". It matches the Rfam family "Bacterial small subunit ribosomal RNA", at positions 359 to 798 of the family's 1533-position model. The record is from RNAcentral. Lineage: Bacteria; Bacillati; Bacillota; Bacilli; Lactobacillales; Lactobacillaceae.
GUGUUCAUAAUGGACGAGUCUGAUGGAGCAUGCCGCGUGAGUGAAGAAGGGUUUCGGCUCGUAAAACUCUGUUGUUAAAGAAGAACACCUUUGAGAGUAACUGUUCAAGGGUUGACGGUAUUUAACCAGAAAGCCACGGCUAACUACGUGCCAGCAGCCGCGGUAAUACGUAGGUGGCAAGCGUUGUCCGGAUUUAUUGGGCGUAAAGCGAGCGCAGGCGGUUUUUUAAGUCUGAUGUGAAAGCCUUCGGCUUAACCGGAGAAGUGCAUCGGAAACUGGGAGACUUGAGUGCAGAAGAGGACAGUGGAACUCCAUGUGUAGCGGUGGAAUGCGUAGAUAUAUGGAAGAACACCAGUGGCGAAGGCGGCUGUCUAGUCUGUAACUGACGCUGAGGCUCGAAAGCAUGGGUAGCGAACAGGAUUAGAUACCCCGGGUAGUCCCAA